CGAGAUUUGAACUUGGGCUCCCAGGCGUCAGUGCGCGCGCGGAGGUUAAGUUGCAGCACCUUGUUCUCCGCAGGCCGUGCAGCGACUGGGCCACGGUGCCGGCCCAGGAGAUGGUGGAAGGGCCGGGUUGUACUCUGAAUGGAGAGAAAAUUCGGGCGCGGGUGCUCCCGGGCCAGGCGGUGACCGACGUGCGGGGAAGCGCUCUGCCACACGCUGUGGUCCCUUCCCAGACUGCUGCACUGAAUAAAGAUUCCAGCCAGAAUUUCUUGAAAUUGUUUGAUGGAUAUGUUUACAGUGGCGUGGAAACUUUGGGGAAGGAGCUCUUUAUGUACUUCGGGCCAAAAGCUUUACGGAUUCAUUUUGGAAUGAAAGGCUCCGUCAUGAUUAAUCCACUUGAGUAUAAAAAUAGAAAUGGAGUUUCUCCUGGUUUUGAAAUACAGCUUACCAAAGAUUUGAUUUGUUUCUUUGACUCAUCAGUAGAACUAAGAAACUCAGUGGAGAGCCAACAGAGAAUAAGAAUGAUGGAAGAAUUAGAUAUAUGUUCACCUAAAUUUAGUUUCUCAAGAGCAGAAAGUGAAGUUAAAAAGCAGAAAGGUCGGAUGCUGUGUGAUGUGUUAAUGGAUCAGAAAGUGUUGCCUGGGGUGGGGAACAUCAUCAGAAACGAAGCGCUCUUUGACAGCGGUCUCCACCCAGCUGCUAAAGUUUGUCAGUUAACUGAUGAACAGACCCAUCACCUUGUGAAAAUGAUACGUGAUUUCAGCAUUCUCUUUUACAGGUGUCGUAAAACAGGAUCUGCUGUCUCUAAACACUACAAGGUUUACAAGCGUCCUAAUUGUGGUCAUUGCCACUGCAAAAUAACUGUGUGUCGCUUCGGGGAGAAUAACAGAAUGACAUAUUUCUGUCCUCACUGUCAAAAAGAAAAUCCUCAACAUGUUGACAUUUGCAAGCUACCGACUAGAAAUACUAUAAUCAGUUGGACAUCUAGCAGGGUGGAUCAUCUUAUGGACACUGUGGCUCGGAAAUCUGAAGAACAGUGGACGUGUGGGGUCUGUACACUAAUAAACAAGUCCUCUUCUAAGUCCUGUGAUGCUUGCUUGACCUCAAGGCCUAUUGAUUCAAUGCUCAAGAAUGAAGAACAUCCUAUUGCCUUUAACAACUUAGUGAAGUACCCUUGUAAUAGCUUUGGAAAACCCGACACAGAAGUGAAGAUCAACAGGAAAACUGCAUUUGGAACUACAACCCUUGUCUUAACUGAUUUUAGCAAUAAAUCCAGUACUUUGGAAAGAAAAAAAAGGCAAAACCAGACACUAGAUGGGGAGUUUCAAAACUCUUCUCCUCCUAGUGUUUGUUUUAGUGAUACACAGCACCCCUCCAAGGAGAGAACAAACUAUAUAACUCAACUAUCUAGCAAAGUAAACACAUCACCUACAGUCUGCUCUGAGUCUAAAUUAUUCAGUCCAGCACAUAAAAAAUUGAAAACAACCCACUACUCAUCACCAGAUCUCAAAAGUUGCAACCGUGGAUUUUCUAAAAGCGAACUUCAAAUGAAUAUGACAGAUGGUCCUUGUACCUUAAACACUGGCAGUCCCCGCUGCAGUAAACACAACCGCCUCUGCGUUCUCCGAGUCGUGAGGAAGGAUGGUGAAAACAAGGGCAGGCAGUUUUAUGCUUGUCCUCUACCUAGGGAAGCACAAUGUGGAUUUUUUGAAUGGGCAGAUUUGUCCUUCCCAUUUUGCAGCCAUGGCAAACGCUCCAUCAUGAGAACAGUGUUGAAGAUUGGACCUAAUAAUGGAAAGAAUUUCUUUGUGUGUCCUCUUGGGAAGGAAAAGCAGUGCAAUUUUUUCCAGUGGGCAGAAAAUGGGCCAGGAACAAAAAUUAUACCAGGAUGCUAAUAUUUUCUCCUUCUGUAGAAUAUCUGGCAUUUAAUCUCUUCAAACUGUAUGUAAUGUUUAGUUUCCUUUUGUGUAAUAGAAAGGUUGGAGAAUAUCUAUGGGAGGAAAUAACAAUGGCAAUAACCUUAAAGAAGGACUUGAAUUACACCAGACUGAGAAGACACCCAGGGCCUCGGGGACGGCGUGAAAGCAGGGAAGCAGGAGGAAUACGCAGGGUCCAGAAUUUCAAAAAGAAAGUCUUCGAAAGAAGAUGCUGGGAGAUUAUGGCUUUAAGUGCCUGGAAACACUGAAUAUGUAGUGUUUCUGGGGGAGCAGGGGAGGAUCACACAGUUUCACCCAGAGUGAUGGGCCGAAACAGUCCCAUGCAUUGAAAUUGACUCGAAAAGGGGUGAGCUGACUAAUGCUGAAACCACAGAGCAGGGCCUGGGGAGUGGCAGAGAACGGAAGAGCCCUGUUGUUCUUGAAGGUUGCAGAAAGAAAGCCAAAGAUUUUUAGAUUGAAAUACUUUCUAUUUGUUAGAGUCUUGUUGGCUCCUCUAAUAGAAGAGAGAGUUCAAAAGAGAUGAAGAAAAGAAAAAGCAAUGAUGGAAAAAAAAUUAGAUCCUCUGAACAGAAAGGGGAGGAUAAGAAGAAACACCUAAAGCAUCUAUACAGGUUCUUGGCAUCCAUUCUUGGUAACCAGAAACACAAAUAUAUGGAGUCAACAAAAGAACAGUCUUCUAAAUUUUUAAAACUACAUACUAGCAUUUUGGACUAAAUGCUAUCAUAAAAUGCAAAACUGCAAAACAAAUUCACAGUCUCAUUACAACAAUUCCAUAUCUACCUUCCAUAUUAGCAUAUCAGUGUCACUCCCAAUUGCUAGCAUGAACAUCUUGAUUUACAUAUUAAUAAAUACUUGUCUGCU
Molecule: RNA transcript, 2795 nt
Organism: Lemur catta (Ring-tailed lemur)
Lineage: Eukaryota; Metazoa; Chordata; Mammalia; Primates; Lemuridae
Gene: NEIL3
Gene name: nei like DNA glycosylase 3
Exons: 12
Source: RefSeq, a predicted model, not a curated record